AGUGAACGCUGGCGGUAGGCCUAACACAUGCAAGUCGAACGGCAGCACAGUAAGGGCUUGCUCUUACGGGUGGCGAGUGGCGGACGGGUGAGGAGUACAUCGGAAUCUACUUUUUCGUGGGGGACAACGUAGGGAAACUUACGCUAAUACCGCAUACGACCUACGGGUGAAAGCAGUGGAUCUUCGCACCUUGCGCGAUUGAAUGAGCCGAUGUCGGAUUAGCUAGUUGGCGGGGUAAAGGCACACCAAGGCGACGAUCCGUAGCUGGUCUGAGAGGAUGAUCAGCCACACUGGAACUGAGACACGGUCCAGACUCCUACGGGAGGCAGCAGUGGGGAAUAUUCGACAAUGGGCGAAAGCCUGAUCCAGCAAUACCGCGUGAGUGAAGAAGGCCUUCGGGUUGUAAAGCCCUUUUGUUGGGAAAGAAAAGCAGCAGGUUAAUACCCCGCUGUUCUGACGGUACCCAAAGAAUAAGCACCGGCUAACUUCGUG
Molecule: ribosomal RNA, 492 nt
Filed under: uncultured bacterium
Lineage: Bacteria
Description: partial 16S ribosomal RNA
Rfam family: Bacterial small subunit ribosomal RNA
Source: RNAcentral